This 708-nucleotide ribosomal RNA is filed under the name Candona sp. 36 IK-2020. RNAcentral's name for it is "SSU rRNA". It matches the Rfam family "Eukaryotic small subunit ribosomal RNA", at positions 496 to 1211 of the family's 1831-position model. The record is from RNAcentral. Lineage: Eukaryota; Metazoa; Arthropoda; Ostracoda; Podocopida; Candonidae.
GAGGCCCCCGUAAUUGGAAUGACUACAAUUUAAAUCCUUUAAGAAGGAUCCAUUGGAGGGCAAGUCUGGUGCCAGCAGCCGCGGUAAUUCCAGCUCCAAUAGCGUAUAUUAAAGUUGCUGCAGUUAAAAAGCUCGUAGUUGGAUCUCAGUUACAGGCAGGUGGUUCACUUUACAGUGUUACUACCUGAACUGAACCUAUUGCUGGAUCUCAUGGGUGCCCUUCACUGGGUGCCCAUUGAGGACAGACGUUUUACUUUGAGAAAAUUAGAGUGCUCAAAGCAGGCGAAUGCCUGAAUAGUUGUGCAUGGAAUAAUGAAAUAUGGCCUCGGUGUUGUUUUGUUGGUUCACGAUGCUCGAGGUAAUGGUUGAAAGGGACUGACGGGGGCAUUCGUAUUGCGACGUUAGAGGUGAAAUUCUUAGAUCGUCGCAAGACGGACUACUGCGAAAGCAUUUGCCAAGAAUGUCUUCAUUAAUCAAGAACGAAAGUCAGAGGUUCGAAGGCGAUCAGAUACCGCCCUAGUUCUGACCUUAAACGAUGCUAACUGGCGAUCCAGGAGGGGUAUUUAAAUGACCCUCUGGGCAGCUUCUGGGAAACCAAAGUUUUUGGGUUCCGGGGGAAGUAUGGUUGCAAAGCUGGAACUUAAAGGAAUUGACGGAAGGGCACCACCAGGAGUGGAGCCUGUGGCUUAAUUUGACUCAACACGGGAA